AACGAACGCUGGCGGCAGGCCUAACACAUGCAAGUCGAACGCUCCGCAAGGGGAGUGGCGCACGGGUGAGUAACACGUGGGAACCUACCUUCUGGUACGGAACAACCAAGGGAAACUUUGGCUAAGACCGUAUACGACCUCCGGGUGAAAGAUUGAUCGCCGGAAGAGGGGCCCGCGUCCGAUUAGGUAGUUGGUGAGGUAACGGCUCACCAAGCCUUCGAUCGGUAGCUGGUCUGAGAGGAUGACCAGCCACACUGGGACUGAGACACGGCCCAGACUCCUACGGGAGGCAGCAGUGGGGAAUAUUGGACAAUGGGCGCAAGCCUGAUCCAGCCAUGCCGCGUGAGUGAUGAAGGCCUGGUUGUAAG
RNAcentral lists this ribosomal RNA (368 nucleotides) under uncultured bacterium. RNAcentral's name for it is "bacterial SSU rRNA". It matches the Rfam family "Bacterial small subunit ribosomal RNA", at positions 29 to 429 of the family's 1533-position model. The record is from RNAcentral.